UACAGAGGGUGCAAGCGUUGUUCGGAAUUAUUGGGCGUAAAGCGCGUGUAGGCGGUUUUCUAAGUCUGAUGUGAAAUCCCUUGGCUCAACCAAGGACGUGCAUUGGAUACUGGAUCACUAGAGGACGAGAGAGGUGAAUGGAAUUCCCGGUGUAGGGGUGAAAUCCGUAGAUAUCGGGAGGAACACCAGAGGCGAAGGCGGUUCACUGGCUCGUUACUGACGCUGAGACGCGAAAGCGUGGGGAGCAAACAGGAUUAGAUACCCUGGUAGUCCACGCCCUAAACGAUGGAUACUAGACGUUGGAGCUCUAAUCGCUUCAGUGUCGCAGCUAACGCAAUAAGUAUCCCGCCUGGAAGUACGGUCGCAAGAUUAAA
This 374-nucleotide ribosomal RNA is filed under the name uncultured bacterium. RNAcentral describes it as "bacterial SSU rRNA". It matches the Rfam family "Bacterial small subunit ribosomal RNA", at positions 524 to 898 of the family's 1533-position model. The record is from RNAcentral.